This 77-nucleotide transfer RNA is filed under the name Lactococcus cremoris. RNAcentral describes it as "Lactococcus lactis subsp. cremoris tRNA-OTHER". It matches the Rfam family "tRNA". From Rfam's summary of the family: Transfer RNA (tRNA) molecules are approximately 80 nucleotides in length. Lineage: Bacteria; Bacillati; Bacillota; Bacilli; Lactobacillales; Streptococcaceae. The record is from RNAcentral.
GGAAGGGUGCGAAGAGCUAAACGCGCGGCUGUAAAUCCGCUUCCUUCGGUUCGGGGGUUCGAAUCCCUCCCUUCCCA